AUGACAAAAGGAAACAGAAGAGAAGAACGCAUGAUCCAGGCAAAGGGAAACACAGCACCAUUAGGUCUGAUUUACCUGAAAUCUGAGAUGCAGAGCUGUGGAAGGAGGAGAGCUGACAUCAUUUCAAGCCUCUUGAGGCUCCUUGGCAGGUGUUUUUCGUGGGCUGUCAACCGGAGAGCACGAAAAGGGACUUUGGGCAACAAGAGAAACCUGCAGCAGGGAGCCAGCUCCCGAGGCAGCCCAGCUUCCUCAGGGAAGGGUCUGUUGCAGGUAAGUACAAAAUACACUGAGAUCCCAACAACAUCAUUCCAGACACAUUCUCCACUGAGUUAUUAAGCGCUGACAGCGUGCUCAUCACCCGGGGUUAAACGCAUCCCACGGAAAGGAAUUACACAGGCCCAUAUGCUACCUUGCGAGAGCCAAGCAAGCCUUUUUAUGAAUAAAAUAUUUCUCUGAAAAACA
RNAcentral lists this long non-coding RNA (462 nucleotides) under Anas platyrhynchos platyrhynchos (common mallard). RNAcentral describes it as "lncRNA (ENSAPLG00000027945.1)". Lineage: Eukaryota; Metazoa; Chordata; Aves; Anseriformes; Anatidae. The record is from RNAcentral.